AGAGUUUGAUCCUGGCUCAGAGCGAACGCUGGCGGCGUGCUUAACACAUGCAAGUCGAACGAGUGUAGCAAUACAUUCGUGGCGAACGGGUGCGUAACACGUGGAUAACCUUCCUUCAGGUGGGGAAUAACCCAGUGAAAAUUGGGAUAAUACCGCAUAACAAGACGAGGGCACAUGCUCAUGUCUUCAAAGGCGCAAGUCGCCAGAAGAGGGAUCCGCGGCCGAUUAGCUUGUUGGCGGGGUAACGGCCCACCAAGGCAUUGAUCGGUAGCCGGACUGAGAGGUUGGCCGGCCACACUGGAACUGAGACACGGUCCAGACUCCUACGGGAGGCAGCAGUGGGGAAUCUUGCACAAUGGACGAAAGUCUGAUGCAGCAACGCCGCGUGGGGGAUGAAGCUUCUCGGAGUGUAAACCCCUUUCGACCCGGAAGAAAGCCCGCAAGGGUUUGACGGUACGGGUAUAAGAAGCCCCGGCUAACUACGUGCCAGCAGCCGCGGUAAAACGUAGGGGGCCAGCGUUGCUCGGAAUUACUGGGCGUAAAGGGUCCGUAGGCGGUGUGGCAAGUCGGAAGUGAAAUCUCUGGGCUUAACCCAGAGGCUGCUUCCGAAACUGCCGUGCUAGAGGGUGAGAGAGGCAAGUGGAAUUGCGGGUGUAGCGGUGAAAUGCGUAGAUAUCCGCAGGAACGUCCGAGGCGAAAGCGGCUUGCUGGAUCACUUCUGACGCUGAGGGACGAAAGCUAGGGGAGCAAACAGGAUUAGAUACCCUAGUAGUCC
RNAcentral lists this ribosomal RNA (775 nucleotides) under uncultured bacterium. RNAcentral describes it as "bacterial SSU rRNA". It matches the Rfam family "Bacterial small subunit ribosomal RNA", at positions 8 to 796 of the family's 1533-position model. The record is from RNAcentral.